This is a long non-coding RNA of Pecten maximus, 1865 nucleotides long. RefSeq lists it as uncharacterized. Lineage: Eukaryota; Metazoa; Mollusca; Bivalvia; Pectinida; Pectinidae. The record is from RefSeq and is a predicted model, not a curated record. The transcript has 4 exons.
UGACAUAGUUGAUAAAGUGCCGUGACUAGGUACCUUACAUUUGUAUGUAUGACAGGAAACAUCCAGUGUUGCGUUCAUUCCUUUACAUCUUUUUUGACUUCCGGACGGGUUGUCUUUAGCCUUCUGUAAUUCUUACGUUAUCAUGAAGCGGGAAAGCAUAUGCAUGUUUUGCCUCCUGGUUGUGUUGAUGGCCUUUCUUGUGACAGGCGUUGACAGCCGUCGAAGAGGUGGUGGAGGUGGCGCACGCUUUACUUCUCGUUAUAGAGGAUCAGGAGGAUCAAAUGGAUCGGCUGGUCCUAAUUUCGGUAGUGUACUCGGGAUUACCAUCAUUGGAAUCAUUGGAGUCGGGAUAACAUUUGUGAUGCGUUAUGUGCCGCUUGGAGUUCGAAUAACGUACACCUAAAGACCUACUUUAACAAAACAUGUGCAAAGCAGCACAACAUCCUCUAGGACCCCGAACGAUAUCCAUCACCUUUCAAAAUACCUUUUUUUUCUUUCUACAAAAAGCAGACGAUAUUAGUUUAGAAAACACAACUCGAAAAUAAGACGCGGCCUAAUAGCAAGCAGAUACAUGUUUAAUUUAAGGAAAGUUUUAUCAGUUUAUAAACGGUCCGCUAUAGCUUUUGUUGUGCAAUAUGAUGAAAUAUGACAAAUCCAGACCUCUUACAGUCUGUUAAUUAUCUAUUACUUCAUACAGACUAUUGAUAAAGGUAUCAUCUUCACUCAUUUGUAUAAUAGAGUAGGAAUACAAAGAACUAACAAUAGACAUAUGAUAUGUUUUCUAAUCAGACAUUCUGAAAACUAUCGGAACACUACAUCAGCUGAAAAUUAUUCUAUAUUUUUUUUUUUUUUUAAAGGCGUAUUUUCAAGUUGCCUUUCUCGUAUUUCCUCCUUGGACUCGUCAGUGAUUAUAAGGACAUCUUACAACUGUUUCGUCCUUCUAGGACUCGUUAUUGAUGGUAGCAGUCAAUAGUGUAAGAAUCAACAAGGAAAGUCAUGAGAGCCAAUAAAGAGAGCCUCAUCGCGGAACAAUAACCCUAUUGUUUGAUAUAGAAGGAAGUUUAAUUACCCAAUUGGUUUAACAAUUUCCUAAUCUAUGGGCAUUGGAAAAUUUUAAAAGAUAAACAAGACGUUUGCAUAUUCAGAGCCAGUGCCAAAUUUCAUCAGAAUUCAAAUGUUAGCUACGACUUCUAAAUAGUGUCUAUGCUACAUGCAUUUUGUCUUGAAAUGGUUCGUUCUUUCAUAUGUUUGAUCUCAAAUAACAUAAUUUUUAAUCUAAUUAUUAAACUCUGGAUUGCCCACAAUCUAUUUAAGGAUUAAACUGUCUUUUCUGGUGUCUAUGGUCGAUAUAGAUGCCAGAGCUUUGCAAACAAACGUCGCCUAUGAUUGUUUACGUUUGUUACAAGUACUUCCGGUUGGUGAAUAUUUUGGAUGUCAAUUAUGCUCACAUAGACUGCAAAUCUUUUUACUUAGUUUAUAUCGUGGCUUUGCCACCAAAAUGUAAAUAUCAUACACUAUCCUAUGUUUAGAGAAGCAUCGUAAGACUUUGUUUUGUUCCUGUAUGCAGUUUGUCUUUGAUUAAUAACUUGUUACCUAAUUCACGUCAUUCAUCGUUAAAAUUUAAAUUAAACAAAAUGAGACAAGCUUAUGUUUUAUGUAAAUCUAUGUUAAUGAACACGUUUGUUGGGAUGCCUUCAUGUACAAUAGGUAAUGUAUGGUUGGCGGAAUAAGAAGCUACUUCACGUGAAUCAUUUGCUAACGUAUCCACAUUGGACAGUAUUGGAUAGUUGGACAUUUAAGCAGUAACGAACCAUUCAUAAUUAAUGUACAUUUACAUAUAUCAACCAUACAGCUGUGUAUCUGAC